GAGGGGAGUGAAAAAGAACCUGAAACCGUGUACGUACAAGCAGUGGGAGCCUCUUUUAUGGGGUGACUGCGUACCUUUUGUAUAAUGGGUCAGCGACUUAUAUUCUGUAGCAAGGUUAACCGAAUAGGGGAGCCGAAGGGAAACCGAGUCUUAACUGGGCGUUAAGUUGCAGGGUAUAGACCCGAAACCCGGUGAUCUAGCCAUGGGCAGGUUGAAGGUUGGGUAACACUAACUGGAGGACCGAACCGACUAAUGUUGAAAAAUUAGCGGAUGACUUGUGGCUGGGGGUGAAAGGCCAAUCAAACCGGGAGAUAGCUGGUUCUCCCCGAAAGCUAUUUAGGUAGCGCCUCGUGAAUUCAUCUCCGGGGGUAGAGCACUGUUUCGGCAAGGGGGUCAUCCCGACUUACCAACCCGAUGCAAACUGCGAAUACCGGAGAAUGUUAUCACGGGAGACACACGGCGGGUGCUAACGUCCGUCGUGAAGAGGGAAACAACCCAGACCGCCAGCUAAGGUCCCAAAGUCAUGGUUAAGUGGGAAACGAUGUGGGAAGGCCCAGACAGCCAGGAUGUUGGCUUAGAAGCAGCCAUCAUUUAAAGAAAGCGUAAUAGCUCACUGGUCGAGUCGGCCUGCGCGGAAGAUGUAACGGGGCUAAACCAUGCACCGAAGCUGCGGCAGCGACGCUUAUGCGUUGUUGGGUAGGGGAGCGUUCUGUAAGCCUGUGAAGGUGUGCUGUGAGGCAUGCUGGAGGUAUCAGAAGUGCGAAUGCUGACAUAAGUAACGAUAAAGCGGGUGAAAAGCCCGCUCGCCGGAAGACCAAGGGUUCCUGUCCAACGUUAAUCGGGGCAGGGUGAGUCGACCCCUAAGGCGAGGCCGAAAGGCGUAGUCGAUGGGAAACAGGUUAAUAUUCCUGUACUUGGUGUUACUGCGAAGGGG
RNAcentral lists this ribosomal RNA (934 nucleotides) under Escherichia coli. RNAcentral's name for it is "partial 23S ribosomal RNA". It matches the Rfam family "Bacterial large subunit ribosomal RNA", at positions 531 to 1469 of the family's 2925-position model. The record is from RNAcentral. Lineage: Bacteria; Pseudomonadati; Pseudomonadota; Gammaproteobacteria; Enterobacterales; Enterobacteriaceae.